RNAcentral lists this transfer RNA (88 nucleotides) under Bacillota bacterium. RNAcentral's name for it is "Firmicutes bacterium (sediment metagenome) tRNA-Leu". It matches the Rfam family "tRNA". From Rfam's summary of the family: Transfer RNA (tRNA) molecules are approximately 80 nucleotides in length. The record is from RNAcentral. Lineage: Bacteria; Bacillati; Bacillota.
GCCGGGGUGGCGGAACAGUUGACGCGGCGGAUUUAAACUCCGCUGGGCGGAAACGCCCUUGGGGGUGCGAAUCCCUCCCCCGGCACCA